AUCUAGCUGAUGAGUCCCAUAUGGGACGACAUGCGCGUCCUGGAU
Non-coding RNA from Schistosoma mansoni, 45 nucleotides. Lineage: Eukaryota; Metazoa; Platyhelminthes; Trematoda; Strigeidida; Schistosomatidae. The record is from Rfam.